AGUGAACGCUGGCGGUAGGCCUAACACAUGCAAGUCGAACGGCAGCACAGUAAGAGCUUGCUCUUACGGGUGGCGAGUGGCGGACGGGUGAGGAAUACAUCGGAAUCUACUUUUUCGUGGGGGAUAACGUAGGGAAACUUACGCUAAUACCGCAUACGACCUACGGGUGAAAGCAGGGGAUCUUCGGACCUUGCGCGAUUGAAGGAGCCGAUGUCGGAUUAGCUAGUUGGCGGGGUAAAGGCCCACCAAGGCGACGAUCCGUAGCUGGUCUGAGAGGAUGAUCAGCCACACUGGAACUGAGACACGGUCCAGACUCCUACGGGAGGCAGCAGUGGGGAAUAUUGGACAAUGGGCGCAAGCCUGAUCCAGCCAUACCGCGUGGGUGAAGAAGGCCUUCGGGUUGUAAAGCCCUUUUGCUGGGAAAGAAAAGCAGCAGGUUAAUACCCCGCUGUUCUGACGGUACCCAAAGAAUAAGCACCGGCUAACUUCGUG
RNAcentral lists this ribosomal RNA (492 nucleotides) under uncultured bacterium. RNAcentral describes it as "partial 16S ribosomal RNA". It matches the Rfam family "Bacterial small subunit ribosomal RNA", at positions 29 to 507 of the family's 1533-position model. The record is from RNAcentral.